Molecule: transfer RNA, 72 nt
Filed under: Bos taurus (domestic cattle)
Lineage: Eukaryota; Metazoa; Chordata; Mammalia; Artiodactyla; Bovidae
Also listed under: 4 other names
Rfam family: tRNA
About the family: Transfer RNA (tRNA) molecules are approximately 80 nucleotides in length. Their secondary structure includes four short double-helical elements and three loops (D, anti-codon, and T loops).
Source: Rfam by way of RNAcentral
UCCUUCAUAGCUCAGUUGGUAAAGAAUCUGCCUGCAAUGCAGGAGACCCAGGUUCGAUCCCUGGGUUGGGAA